This 76-nucleotide transfer RNA is filed under the name Bdellovibrionales bacterium RIFOXYB1_FULL_37_110. RNAcentral's name for it is "tRNA-Lys". It matches the Rfam family "tRNA". From Rfam's summary of the family: Transfer RNA (tRNA) molecules are approximately 80 nucleotides in length. Their secondary structure includes four short double-helical elements and three loops (D, anti-codon, and T loops). Lineage: Bacteria; Pseudomonadati; Bdellovibrionota; Bdellovibrionia; Bdellovibrionales. The record is from RNAcentral.
GGGACGUUAACUCAAUUGGUAGAGUAGCGGACUUUUAAUCCGUUUGUUUGGGGUUCGAGUCCCCAACGUCCCACCA